AUUGAACGCUGGCGGCAGGCCUAACACAUGCAAGUCGAGCGGAUGAAGGGAGCUUGCUCCUGGAUUCAGCGGCGGACGGGUGAGUAAUGCCUAGGAAUCUGCCUGGUAGUGGGGGAUAACGUCCGGAAACGGGCGCUAAUACCGCAUACGUCCUGCGGGAGAAAGUGGGGGAUCUUCGGACCUCACGCUAUCAGAUGAGCCUAGGUCAGAUUAGCUAGUUGGUGGGGUAAAGGCCUACCAAGGCGACGAUCCGUAACUGGUCUGAGAGGAUGAUCAGUCACACUGGAACUGAGACACGGUCCAGACUCCUACGGGAGGCAGCAGUGGGGAAGAUUGGACAAUGGGCGAAAGCCUGAUCCAGCCAUGCCGCGUGUGUGAAGAAGGUCUUCGGAUUGUAAAGCACUUUAAGUUGGGAGGAAGGGCAGUAAGUUAAUACCUUGCUGUUUUGACGUUACCAACAGAAUAAGCACCGGCUAACUUCGUG
This 484-nucleotide ribosomal RNA is filed under the name uncultured bacterium. RNAcentral describes it as "partial 16S ribosomal RNA". It matches the Rfam family "Bacterial small subunit ribosomal RNA", at positions 30 to 507 of the family's 1533-position model. The record is from RNAcentral.